GCGGGCUUAGCUCAGUCGGUAGAGCAUCAGCUUCCCAAGCUGAGGGUCGCGGGUUCGAAUCCCGUAACCCGCUCCA
Molecule: transfer RNA, 76 nt
Filed under: Candidatus Cloacimonadota bacterium
Lineage: Bacteria; Pseudomonadati; Candidatus Cloacimonadota
Description: tRNA-Gly
Rfam family: tRNA
About the family: Transfer RNA (tRNA) molecules are approximately 80 nucleotides in length. Their secondary structure includes four short double-helical elements and three loops (D, anti-codon, and T loops). Further hydrogen bonds mediate the characteristic L-shaped molecular structure. tRNAs have two regions of fundamental functional importance: the anti-codon, which is responsible for specific mRNA codon recognition, and the 3' end, to which the tRNAs corresponding amino acid is attached (by aminoacyl-tRNA synthetases). tRNAs cope with the degeneracy of the genetic code in two manners: having more than one tRNA (with a specific anti-codon) for a particular amino acid; and 'wobble' base-pairing, i.e. permitting non-standard base-pairing at the 3rd anti-codon position.
Source: RNAcentral